UACGGAGGGGGCCAGCGUUGUUCGGAAUCAUUGGGCGUAAAGGGCGCGUAGGCGGCCGAGCAAGUCGGACGUGAAAUCCCCCGGCUCAACUGGGGAACUGCAUCCGAAACUGCUUGGCUUGAGUCCUGGAGAGGGUAGUGGAAUUCCCAGUGUAGCGGUGAAAUGCGUAGAUACUGGGAGGAACACCGGUGGCGAAGGCGGCUACCUGGACAGGUACUGACGCUGAGGCGCGAAAGCGAGGGGAGCAAACAGG
Molecule: ribosomal RNA, 253 nt
Filed under: uncultured bacterium
Lineage: Bacteria
Description: partial 16S ribosomal RNA
Rfam family: Bacterial small subunit ribosomal RNA
Source: RNAcentral